UCCGGUGGCCCUAGCGAGGGGGAAACACCCGUACCCAUUCCGAACACGGAAGUUAAGCCCCUCAGCGCCGAUGGUACUGCGUGGGUAACUGCGUGGGAGAGUAGGUCGCCGCCGGGG
Molecule: ribosomal RNA, 117 nt
Filed under: Nitrospirota bacterium
Lineage: Bacteria; Pseudomonadati; Nitrospirota
Source: RNAcentral